ACGAACGCUGGCGGCAGGCCUAACACAUGCAAGUCGAACGCCCUAGCAAUAGGGAGUGGCAGAUGGGUGAGUAACGCGUGGGAACCUUCCCAGUGGUACGGAAUAACCCAUCGAAAGGUGGGCUAAUACCGCAUACGCCCGCAAGGGGAAAGAUUUAUCGCCAUUGGAUGGGCCCGCGUCGGAUUAGCUAGUUGGUAGGGUAACGGCCUACCAAGGCGACGAUCCGUAGCUGGUCUGAGAGGAUGAUCAGCCACACUGGGACUGAGACACGGCCCAGACUCCUACGGGAGGCAGCAGUGGGGAAUAUUGGACAAUGGGCGCAAGCCUGAUCCAGCCAUGCCGCGUGAGUGACGAAGGCCUUAGGGUUGUAAAGCUCUUUUGGCGGGGACGAUAAUGACGGUACCCGCAGAAUAAGCUCCGGCUAACUUCGU
This 431-nucleotide ribosomal RNA is filed under the name uncultured bacterium. RNAcentral describes it as "bacterial SSU rRNA". It matches the Rfam family "Bacterial small subunit ribosomal RNA", at positions 29 to 506 of the family's 1533-position model. The record is from RNAcentral.